GCACUGCUGAAGAAUCCCAAAUAAGACGAAAUGACCAUCCAGUGC
Molecule: non-coding RNA, 45 nt
Organism: Schistosoma curassoni
Lineage: Eukaryota; Metazoa; Platyhelminthes; Trematoda; Strigeidida; Schistosomatidae
Source: Rfam